Molecule: ribosomal RNA, 1091 nt
Filed under: uncultured Pelagibacterales bacterium
Lineage: Bacteria; Pseudomonadati; Pseudomonadota; Alphaproteobacteria; Candidatus Pelagibacterales
Description: bacterial SSU rRNA
Rfam family: Bacterial small subunit ribosomal RNA
Source: RNAcentral
GGCAUUAGGCGGCGCGAUUCGCCCUUAGGGUUCGAUCAUGGCUCAGAACGUACGCUGGCGGCACGCCUAACACAUGCAAGUCGAACAAAGUAGCAAUACUUAGUGGCAGACGGGUGAGUAACAUGUGGGUAUCUACCCUUUGGCCUGGAAUAACACGAGGAAACUUGUGCUAAUACCGGAUAAGUCUUUACGGAGAAAGCUUUAUGCACCAUUGGAUGAGCCCGCACUUGAUUAGUUUGUUGGUAGGGUAAUGGCCUACCAAGACUAUGAUCAAUAGCUGAUUUGAGAGGAUGAUCAGCCACAUUGGGACUGAGACACGGCCCAAACUCCUACGGGAGGCAGCAGUGGGGAAUCUUGCACAAUGGAGGAAACUCUGAUGCAGCGAUGCCGCGUGAGUGAAGAAGGCCUUUGGGUUGUAAAGCUCUUUCGUCGGGGAAGAAAAUGACUGUACCCGAAUAAGAAGGUCCGGCUAACUUCGUGCCAGCGGCCGCGGUAAUACGAAGGGACCUAGCGUAGUUCGGAAUUACUGGGCUUAAAGAGUUCGUAGGUGGUUGAAAAAGUUGGUGGUGAAAUCCCAGAGCUUAACUCUGGAACUGCCAUCAAAACUUUUCAGCUAGAGUAUGAUAGAGGAAAGCAGAAUUUCUAGUGUAGAGGUGAAAUUCGUAGAUAUUAGAAAGAAUACCAAUUGCGAAGGCAGCUUUCUGGAUCAUUACUGACACUGAGGAACGAAAGCAUGGGUAGCGAAGAGGAUUAGAUACCCUCGUAGUCCAUGCCGUAAACGAUGUGUGUUAGACGUUGGAAAUUUAUUUUCAGUGUCGCAGGGAAACCGAUAAACACACCGCCUGGGGAGUACGACCGCAAGGGUGAAACUCAAAGGAAUUGACGGGGGCCCGCACAAGCGGUGGAGCAUGUGGUUUAAUUCGAUGCAACGCGAAGAACCUUACCAGGGCUUGACAUACUGCAAAUCUUUUUUAAACGAAAGAGUGCCUUCGGGAAUGCAGAUACAGUGGUGCAUGGCUGUCGUCAGCUCGUGUCGUGAGAUGUUGGGGUUAAGUCCCGCAACGAGCGCAACCCUCGUUUUUAGUUACCAA